Molecule: ribosomal RNA, 250 nt
Filed under: uncultured bacterium
Lineage: Bacteria
Description: partial 16S ribosomal RNA
Rfam family: Bacterial small subunit ribosomal RNA
Source: RNAcentral
UACGUAGGUGGCGAGCGUUGUCCGGAAUUACUGGGCGUAAAGGGUGCGUAGGCGGUUUUUUAAGUCAGAUGUGAAAUCCCAGGGCUCAACUCUGGAGUUGCAUUUGAAACUGGAGGGCUAGAGUGCAGGAGAGGAAAGCGGAAUUCCUAGUGUAGCGGUGAAAUGCGUAGAUAUUAGGAAGAACACCAGUGGCGAAGGCGGCUUUCUGGACUGUAACUGACGCUGAGGCACGAAAGCGUGGGGAGCAAAC